This 73-nucleotide transfer RNA is filed under the name Ovis aries (sheep). It matches the Rfam family "tRNA". Rfam says of the family: Transfer RNA (tRNA) molecules are approximately 80 nucleotides in length. Their secondary structure includes four short double-helical elements and three loops (D, anti-codon, and T loops). The record is from Rfam by way of RNAcentral. Lineage: Eukaryota; Metazoa; Chordata; Mammalia; Artiodactyla; Bovidae.
CCCUUGGGGGUCCAGUGGCUAAGACUCUGUGCUCCCAAUGCAGUGGGCCCAAGUUCAAUCCCUGGUCAGGGAA